This is a long non-coding RNA of Homo sapiens (human), 738 nucleotides long. Ensembl annotates it as NOTCH1 associated lncRNA in T cell acute lymphoblastic leukemia 1. Its record names the gene NALT1. NCBI's taxonomy places the organism in Eukaryota, Metazoa, Chordata, Mammalia, Primates, Hominidae. The record is from Ensembl.
GGAGGAGGGACCCGGCGGCGCGGCGUGGGUCGGGAGCGGGCGCCUGGGACUACUUCUCGUUUGAAAGUUUUCAGAGGCCAAAAGUUUGAGCCGGGGCUGCGGAAGGAUCCGGCUCUGGCGGUUGCCGCGCUCGGCGACAACUGGCGACUGAAAUUUGCAUAGAAGAGAGUGGCCCAUUCGGUGUCCACCCGUCAGGCCACCCAGCAGCCAGGCACGCUCAUAAGCCCGCGUUACGGAUGGUGCGGCCGGGUGCACAGGCCCGAGGGAAGCACAGGCCUCGGCCUCCCAGCUCCCAACCCCUGCACCACCCACAGCCGGGAGUACCCCAUGGACAGCUGUGGCCGAGGAGAAGCCAGGGAUGAGGGGGAUGGGCCUCACCUCCCCACCAGCCUGGGAAGGGGGUAGGCCCCUGGCAAGUAGGAGGGAAGCUGAGGCUCAGAGACAUCAUGAGGAUGCCAGCUCAAGGCCCAGCCAGGCCUUGGUCCUCAGCUGCUGUCAUCCAGUAGGGUAAGUGGGACCCCCAGGAGGUGUUGGGGGACACUCCUCCCCUCCCCCACACUCACAGUCUGUUCACCGCCCAAGGCAGCAGGCUGGACUCGGUGCAGGGACCAUGGCUUGGCGUGGCCAGGUUGGAGUGGCCCCUGGGACUGAAAGCAGGGGGCGUGGGGGCUCUGAGGCGGGGCCGAGUGCGGGGACGUCCUGUGGCGGGUACCCUGCUGGGUCCUGGGUGGGGGCCAC